AUUGAACGCUGGCGGCAGGCCUAACACAUGCAAGUCGAGCGGAUGAAGGGAGCUUGCUCCUGGAUUCAGCGGCGGACGGGUGAGUAAUGCCUAGGAAUCUGCCUGGUAGUGGGGGAUAACGUCCGGAAACGGGCGCUAAUACCGCAUACGUCCUGAGGGAGAAAGUGGGGGAUCUUCGGACCUCACGCUAUCAGAUGAGCCUAGGUCGGAUUAGCUAGUUGGUGGGGUAAAGGCCUACCAAGGCGACGAUCCGUAACUGGUCUGAGAGGAUGAUCAGUCACACUGGAACUGAGACACGGUCCAGACUCCUACGGGAGGCAGCAGUGGGGAAUAUUGGGCAAUGGGCGAAAGCCUGAUCCAGCCAUGCCGCGUGUGUGAAGAAGGUCUUCGGAUUGUAAAGCACUUUAAGUUGGGAGGAAGGGAAGUAAGUUAAUAUCUUGCUGUUUUGACGUUACCUACAGAGUAAGCACCGGCUAACUUCGUG
RNAcentral lists this ribosomal RNA (484 nucleotides) under uncultured bacterium. Its description in RNAcentral is "partial 16S ribosomal RNA". It matches the Rfam family "Bacterial small subunit ribosomal RNA", at positions 30 to 507 of the family's 1533-position model. The record is from RNAcentral.